RNAcentral lists this ribosomal RNA (174 nucleotides) under Rosenblattichthys volucris (chubby pearleye). Its description in RNAcentral is "partial small subunit ribosomal RNA". Lineage: Eukaryota; Metazoa; Chordata; Actinopteri; Aulopiformes; Scopelarchidae. The record is from RNAcentral.
CACCGCGGUUAUACGAGAGACCCGAGUUGACAGACACCGGCGUAAAGGGUGGUUAUGGGUCAGACCCCAACUAAAGUCAAACGGCCCCUUAAACUGUUAUACGCAUUUCGAAGCCGGAGGCCCCACCACGAAGGUGACUUUAAGACUCCUCCCGAACCCACGACAGCUACGGAA